AUUUCCUGUGUGAAAUGUGGGCUUCCCCUCAUCAUUUCUCUGUCACUCCAAGGUUUCUUUAUGGUAAGAAUGAAGAACAUUAUUUAGGUGACACUGCAGAGAUGAAGUGUUCUCCAGGCUUCGUGACUGUGGUACUUUUAAUGUUUGGACAAACCCAUGGAGACUCAGUGACCCAGACGGAAGGCCAAGUGACCCUCUCAGAAGAGGCUUCCUUGACUUUGAACUGUACUUACUCAGCAUCAGGUUCUCUCACUCUUUUCUGGUAUGUCCAGUAUCCGGGAGAAGGUCCACAGCUCCUCCUGAAAGCCUUGAGGGACAAGGAGAAGGGAAUCAGCAAAGGAUUUGAAGCCACCUAUGACAAAGAUUCCAAAUCCUUCCACUUGGAGAAAGGCUCAGUGCAAGCGUCAGAUUCAGCUGUGUACUACUGUGCCCUGAAUGACACAGUGACGGGGACUGCAGGGGGAGCUGAGCACAAACUCUGAGCAGAACAGGGGCCUGGAUGCUGAGCGUCUCUGCCUGAGCUGCUCUGGUUCCAGCUCAGUCUAUGGUUUUCUGUCCCUCAGUGUCUCCUUGAUAACAAAAAUCAUACAAAGGACUAGAGCACAGAAACCAGAAGUAUCAUCCCCAACCCUGGCUGUUCCUUACUGACACUGAGGACAGUUUGAUGCCAAGAGUCCCUCAGCCAGAGCAUAAGUGAUUUCAAGGUAAAACCACGUAACAAUGAAGGGGUCUCUUGCUCAUCCUUGCAGUGAAUGUCCAGCCCCACAAGUUGUUCAGGGCACCCUGGUGGGUGUUGCUGUGUCUGUGACUCUUUCAGAGACACACAGUGUGUCUGAGAAGGUGGCCUCUGCCCAGUGUCUUCCUGACAGAGUGUGGCAGGAGAGGUGAUGGGAGAGCUUCAGGCCCAAACCAGGUUUCAGUAGAGAAAGAAGGGAAGGGAAGAAAGGAGGAGGAACACAUGUACUCGAGCACAGAAAAGAGAGUCCAGCGAACUCUGCCCUGCUUUCUUUUCUAGUAAAUCAGGUGACAAACACAGGUUGAUAUUCAAAAAGAAGUGGUGGGGGCAGAAACAGCUUUGAGGAAGUAGGUCAUGUCCUGGCCAGUUAAAUAGGUCAGUUGGCUUUCUGACAGUAAAACUCAAGUGAGAUGGGGCAAACUGCACACUAUCUCUGUAUCAGGACAAACUGUCAGGAACAGUACCUCUAAUGAGUGGAUAAAUUACAUUUGCAAUAUGCAUUAAGAAAAGUAAUAGAAAAAGGAAAACUGCCAACAGAAUAAUCAGAACAUGAAUUUUCUCCAUUCUUCCUCAACUCUUUGUCCCUGACUUUCCUCCAACUGGAGUAAUUUUCACCUGUUAACCUCAUGGCUUAUUCCUUCAGUUCUUCCUCGUCUCUGUUCUAGAAAAACAUGUGCUCAUGUGAGGAAUGCUUAAUAAGGUUUAUUGUAGUGUAGUAUUUCCUGGAUUAAAUAAAUCAUCUUGACUUUUAAUCAAUAGAAAGGAUGUAUUAAUGGGAGUAUAUCCACAAUAUGGAAUAUAAUGGAACAAUGAUGCAUAUAGGUUAAUAGAGUAAGACGUUUAAGAUUUACUAUUGUGUUG
Molecule: non-coding RNA, 1597 nt
Organism: Ailuropoda melanoleuca (giant panda)
Lineage: Eukaryota; Metazoa; Chordata; Mammalia; Carnivora; Ursidae
Source: the annotation of a RefSeq genome assembly